This 345-nucleotide unclassified non-coding RNA is filed under the name soil metagenome. Its description in RNAcentral is "partial contains 5.8S ribosomal RNA, internal transcribed spacer 2, and large subunit ribosomal RNA". The stretch from base 1 to 120 matches the Rfam family "5.8S ribosomal RNA", at positions 35 to 154 of the family's 154-position model. The record is from RNAcentral.
GAUGAAGAACGCAGCGAAAUGCGAUACGUAAUGUGAAUUGCAGAAUUCAGUGAAUCAUCGAGUCUUUGAACGCACAUUGCGCCCCCUGGUAUUCCGGGGGGCAUGCCUGUCCGAGCGUCAUUGCUGCCCUCAAGCACGGCUUGUGUGUUGGGCCUCCGUCCUCCUCCCGGGGGACGGGCCCGAAAGGCAGCGGCGGCACCGCGUCCGGUCCUCGAGCGUAUGGGGCUUCGUCACCCGCUCUUGUAGGCCCGGCCGGCGCUUGCCGACACAUCAAUCUUUUUUCCAGGUUGACCUCGGAUCAGGUAGGGAUACCCGCUGAACUUCAGCAUAUCAAUAAGCGGAGGA